RNAcentral lists this ribosomal RNA (460 nucleotides) under uncultured bacterium. Its description in RNAcentral is "partial 16S ribosomal RNA". It matches the Rfam family "Bacterial small subunit ribosomal RNA", at positions 338 to 795 of the family's 1533-position model. The record is from RNAcentral.
CCUACGGGACGCAGCAGUGAGGAAUAUUGGUCAAUGGGCUUACGCCUGAACCAGCAAAGUCGCGUCAGGGAAGACUGCCCUAUGGGUUGUAAACCUCUUUUGUCAGGGGGCAACGCCGGCUACGUGGAGCCGGACUGAGAGUAACUGAAGAAAAAGCAUCGGCGAACUCCGUGCCAGCAGCCGCGGUAAUACGGAGGAUGCAGACGUUAUCCGGAUUUAUGGGGUUUAAAGGGUGCGUAGGCGGAAUGCCAAGUCAGCGGUAAAAUCGCGGGGCUCAACCUCGCUCCGCCGUUGAAACUGGCGUUCUUGAGUGGGCGAGAAGUAUGCGGAAUGCGUGGUGUAGCGGUGAAAUGCAUAGAUAUCACGCAGAACUCCGAUUGCGAAGGCAGCAUACCGGCGCCCAACUGACGCUGAAGCACGAAAGCGUGGGUAUCGAACAGGAUUAGAUACCCGGGUAGUC